This 408-nucleotide ribosomal RNA is filed under the name uncultured bacterium. Its description in RNAcentral is "partial 16S ribosomal RNA". It matches the Rfam family "Bacterial small subunit ribosomal RNA", at positions 28 to 526 of the family's 1533-position model. The record is from RNAcentral.
GACGAACGCUGGCGGCGUGCUUAACACAUGCAAGUCGAACGAAGUGGCGAACGGGUGAGUAACGCGUAAUCAACCUGCCCUUCAGAGGGGGACAACAGUUGGAAACGACUGCUAAUACCGCAUACUGAAGGAGGGGAUUGCGUCUGAUUAGCUAGUUGGAGGGGUAAAGGCCCACCAAGGCGAUGAUCUGUAGCCGGUCUGAGAGGAUGAACGGCCACAUUGGGACUGAGACACGGCCCAGACGCCUACGGGAGGCAGCAGUGGGGAAUCUUCCGCAAUGGAGGAAAGUCUGACGGAGCAACGCCGCGUGAGUGAUGACGGCCUUCGGGUUGUAAAGCUCUGUUAAUCGGGACGCGGUACCGGAAUAGAAAGCCACGGCUAACUACGUGCCAGCAGCCGCGGUAAUUC